GCACUUGACCAGUGUGGUAUGGUCUAAACCCUUUCACUCUGCGAGAAGACCUGUGCUCUGUAAUGAGCUGGCGAUGGGCAAAUAGAAAAG
Long non-coding RNA from Maniola jurtina (meadow brown), 90 nucleotides. RefSeq lists it as uncharacterized. The transcript has 3 exons. The record is from RefSeq and is a predicted model, not a curated record. NCBI's taxonomy places the organism in Eukaryota, Metazoa, Arthropoda, Insecta, Lepidoptera, Nymphalidae.